This 358-nucleotide long non-coding RNA is filed under the name Helianthus annuus (common sunflower). RNAcentral describes it as "sRNA HanXRQr2_Chr17g0818421". Lineage: Eukaryota; Viridiplantae; Streptophyta; Magnoliopsida; Asterales; Asteraceae. The record is from RNAcentral.
UUGUUUUGUUCUCUCUUCUAUCAUCCGUUUGCUGGUUUGCAGGGUUUCUACAAGCAAUGACUUCGACACAAGGGUUCUUGAAGCCAUCACAUAAUAAUUCUUGGUACCUGUUUGACCGCCAUUACUUUUGGCAACCUCAGACCCACUCAAAUUAUGCCACCUGUUGACCCAUUAUCAAAGGAAGCCAAAUAUUUGUUCAGUUUACGUCGAUGGAGAGCUCUUCCUGUUCUCUUCCUUCACCGCAUCUCAUCGGUUACGAUGAGCGGCUAAGACAAGAGUAUGGUUAAAAACCAUAACAACGAGGCAUCUAGCAGCAAGAGUUCCAAGACACCUGACGACGCGGGUUCAUCAACAUGGC